GGGUGUGAGGGUGAUCUGGCUGCCAUAUCUGUCACCCCAUUGAUCGCCAGAGUUGAUUCGGCUGAUCUGGCUGGCUAGGCAGGUGUCCCCUUCCUCCCUCAAUGCUCCAUGUAUGUCCCUCCAGAAACCACGCACUCAGUCGAAGAGGACAACCACCCCCGAUAGAGGAGGACCGUUCUUUGGUCAAGGGUAUACGAGUAGCUGCGCUCCCCUGCUAGAACCACCAAACAAGCUCUCAAGAAGAUAUGGACGGGUUCCUAAAUACAUACAAAUUACCAAAGUUAAAUCAAGAAGAUAUAAAAAUU
Molecule: small nuclear RNA, 305 nt
Filed under: Chinchilla lanigera (long-tailed chinchilla)
Lineage: Eukaryota; Metazoa; Chordata; Mammalia; Rodentia; Chinchillidae
Description: 7SK RNA (ENSCLAG00000021599.1)
Rfam family: 7SK RNA
About the family: 7SK was discovered as an abundant small nuclear RNA in the mid-70s but a possible function has only recently been suggested. Two independent studies have found that 7SK RNA binds the CDK9/cyclin T complex (known as elongation factor P-TEFb). P-TEFb activates transcription by phosphorylating the C-terminal domain of RNA polymerase II.
Source: Rfam by way of RNAcentral